Molecule: long non-coding RNA, 1551 nt
Organism: Salarias fasciatus (jewelled blenny)
Lineage: Eukaryota; Metazoa; Chordata; Actinopteri; Blenniiformes; Blenniidae
Exons: 2
Source: RefSeq, a predicted model, not a curated record
UUGUGACCAACAGGCUGAAACUUGUGGUGGUUCUGGAGAACGUCGGUUAUCAGCAGCUCCAGUGAGCGUGUACGUUUAAAGUCUUUUCUGAGUCUUACUUUAACAACUGUUGUAAUCAGCAGGUGUUUACACAGACCUCCGCCGUCAUUCGUUAACACGGGAACCAGUUAAUCCGUAACACCAGCCGGCGAUGCUCGCAUUCUGCCUCGGAGCUCUCUGAACAACUCGCUGUUGUGCAAUUUGCUUCCAUCUCUCCUCUCCAGGGUUUGUUCUCUCUGGGUUUUUAUUAAAGUUCUUCAGCCACCGUCCAGGACUUCUGCUGGUUUCUGACUGUCCUGCUUCCUGCUUCCUGCUUCCUGUCACAUCAUCACGUCACUACGUACGAGGGAACACAUGGCAGAACCAAUAAUCCUGCUUCAUCCGCUCCGCUGUCAGGCGGCGUUUAUGAGACACGGAGUGGAUUCUGGAUCGGUGUAGACCAGCUGGUCCAGUCGGCUCCGAGUGAAGCGGAUCCUCUCGGUGUUUACAGACACGUUUACGAUCCGCUGCGCCGACAAGCGGAUGAUACAGUUCCCAUGGAAACCUGCCUGUUGGCCUUUUCAGAAUCCAAGAUGGCAGCAGGUUUUCAGGAUGGUGGCCGGCCUUAGACCGAUUCCCUGAUCCGGGUCUACGUUCUGGUCUUCUGAUCCGGGUCUACGUUCUGGUCUUCUGAUCCGGGUCUACGUUCUGGUCUGCUGAUCUGGGUCUACGUUCUGGUCUUCUGAUCCGGGUCUUGCUGGUCUGGUCAGUGUGGGACAUUCCGUCUUGUGUCUCUGUACUGAUGGUUUUUGUGACCAGCGUCUGUCCUGCUGGACUCCCAAGACCUGGGUCUGGAGAACAUGUGGACCAGGAGUCCAGGGCAGGAGCUGGCUUUAGCUCUAGACCCUCAGAAGGACAGCGGGACAGCAGUCCUCCAGGCCCUCACCGGGGGGACAGCGUAUCUGUCUUUUGAGGAAAAGGAAGAGGACAGUCUAGCAGAGCUGGAGACCCUGUCCAACAUCAGGACAUGGUCUGGGCCUGCAGCUGGACUCCUCAGGUCUCCAUCAGGUUCAGCUGCUGGACUGCUGGACGAGACGUCUCUGUCUCCAAACGUCAAACAGCACCGUUCCACCAAGACCAGCAGUCCUCAGAGAACAGUGUCCGUCCCCUCGGAGAACAGUGUCCGUCCCCUCGGAGAACAGUGUCCGUCCCCUCGGAGAACAGUGUCCGUCCCCUCGGAGAACAGUGUCCGUCCCCUCGGAGAACAGUGUCCGUCCCCUCGGAGAACAGUCUCCCGCCAUCUUGAAAAAUGGCCGCCGUGUUGGAUGAGUCAGAUCUGAUCAGUGACUCAGAUUAACCUUAUGUUUUCCUGCUGCUGGGCCGGCUCCGGGCCAGGCUGGAGGAGUACCACGGCGUUGUGGAGCAGAUCAGCAGGAACCGACUCAACGGACAGAAAUGUUCUCGCUGAAGAUUGUUUGUUUGUUUUCUUUCAUUCUUUGUACACAAACUGAAAUAAAGUUUUUCUGACUGUUU